AACAAACCUGAGGACGCACUGACUUGUUCCGCCUCUUCAGAUGACAUUUCUGCGCUCUCUCUUUUACUUUUGCGCUCCGAGACUCUGACACACACGCCACCUAUCUUUACACGGUGGGAUAGAUGGAGAAACACUGAGGUCGUCUGAUGAACCACAUCAGGUGCUCGCGUCUACCGUUCUGCAACACAGGUGGGACUUUGGAAAGGUGAGGCGGUGGACAUUCUAUCCUGUAUGCGGAACAGAGCAAGAAUGGCAACAACUCGAGCAUCGACAGCAUGAUCUUAAGGAAGAGGAGCUGAAAGGAUGCAUGAGAGGCUGCCGGUGCUGCAGUGAUCUGACAGUGUGCAGCAGGACUGUGACCUCCUGACCCUCUCUGAAAGACAUCAGGACCGCACAGAUGGGAAGCACACCUUAGCCCCUGUAUGAUUCACUUUCGUUCUGAUUACUGCUUUAAUGUGGCGCAACAGCUCUUUUCCUGACCAGGUUCCUGUUUAGAGGCCUUCCUGUAAAUGUCAUGUGUUUCCAUGAAUAAAUCAGACAUUAUGACUACGCAAUUGCA
Long non-coding RNA from Cyprinus carpio (common carp), 559 nucleotides. RefSeq lists it as uncharacterized. The record is from RefSeq and is a predicted model, not a curated record. NCBI's taxonomy places the organism in Eukaryota, Metazoa, Chordata, Actinopteri, Cypriniformes, Cyprinidae.